UACGGAGGGGGCUAGCGUUGUUCGGAAUUACUGGGCGUAAAGCGCACGUAGGCGGCUUUGUAAGUUAGAGGUGAAAGCCCAGGGCUCAACCCUGGAAUUGCCUUUAAGACUGCAUCGCUUGAACAUCGGAGAGGUAAGUGGAAUUCCGAGUGUAGAGGUGAAAUGCGCAGAUAUCAGGAGGAACACCGAUUGCGAAGGCAGCUCGCUGGGACGUUACUGACGCUGAGACGCGAAAGCGUGGGGAGCAAACAGG
Molecule: ribosomal RNA, 253 nt
Filed under: uncultured bacterium
Lineage: Bacteria
Description: partial 16S ribosomal RNA
Rfam family: Bacterial small subunit ribosomal RNA
Source: RNAcentral